GAUGAAGAACGUAGCGAAAUGCGAUACGUAAUGUGAAUUGCAGAAUUCAGUGAAUCAUCGAGUCUUUGAACGCACAUUGCGCCCUCUGGUAUUCCAGAGGGCAUGCCUGUCCGAGCGUCAUUGCUGCCCUCAAGCACGGCUUGUGUGUUGGGCCCCGCCCCCCGAUCCCGGGGGGCGGGCCCGAAAGGCAGCGGCGGCACCGCGUCCGGUCCUCGAGCGUAUGGGGCUUUGUCACCCGCUCUGUAGGCCCGGCCGGCGCCUGCCGAUCAACCAAACUUUUUUCCAGGUUGACCUCGGAUCAGGUAGGGAUACCCGCUGAACUUAAGCAUAUCAAUAAGCGGAGGA
RNAcentral lists this unclassified non-coding RNA (345 nucleotides) under soil metagenome. Its description in RNAcentral is "partial contains 5.8S ribosomal RNA, internal transcribed spacer 2, and large subunit ribosomal RNA". The stretch from base 1 to 120 matches the Rfam family "5.8S ribosomal RNA", at positions 35 to 154 of the family's 154-position model. The record is from RNAcentral.